GGGAGAGAGAGCCCGGCUGCCGCGAUGGUCUCGCUGGCAACGGCGCGGCCACCAGGUACCGUAGGUGCCCCUUCUGGGGAGCCUACUGUCCGCGAGGAAAGUCCCCCCACCUGUUUGGGCAGGUGACCGGGCGCAAGUCCGGAGCGGGAGACCGCUGGCUCUGGAACAGAAACGACACGUCUCGGCCCGACCGAUGACGCGUGCGAACCCGACCGCGAGGAAGGGGAGCUAACCCGCAGAGGGAUCGGGUGACUCAGCGUGCGUAUGACGUGAGUCGCCGAGCAGGCAGGUCGACCGAUCACGGUUCGAAUCCGUCGAUCGACCACCUCUAGACGGCCGAGGAACGAUGGAACGGCGAAUCCUCACCGGUGCAAGUCCACACCGUGGUAGCCUGAACACCCCACGGCGAAGCCGUGGACGGUGUGGAUGCUCAGCCGAAUGCCGGGCCGAACAGAAGGGGGCUUACUCCUCUCACCC
Molecule: RNase P RNA, 477 nt
Filed under: Natrinema halophilum
Lineage: Archaea; Methanobacteriati; Methanobacteriota; Halobacteria; Halobacteriales; Natrialbaceae
Description: Archaeal RNase P
Rfam family: Archaeal RNase P
About the family: Ribonuclease P (RNase P) is a ubiquitous endoribonuclease, found in archaea, bacteria and eukarya as well as chloroplasts and mitochondria.
Source: Rfam by way of RNAcentral